This 303-nucleotide ribosomal RNA is filed under the name uncultured bacterium. RNAcentral describes it as "partial 16S ribosomal RNA". It matches the Rfam family "Bacterial small subunit ribosomal RNA", at positions 507 to 807 of the family's 1533-position model. The record is from RNAcentral.
AGCAGUCGCCGCGGUAAUACGUAGGUGGCAAGCGUCGUCCGGAAUUAUUGGGCGUAAAGGGCUCGCAGGCGGUUUCUUAAGUCUGAUGUGAAAGCCCCCGGCUCAACCGGGGAGGGUCAUUGGAAACUGGGAAACUUGAGUGCAGAAGAGGAGAGUGGAAUUCCACGUGUAGCGGUGAAAUGCGUAGAGAUGUGGAGGAACACCAGUGGCGAAGGCGACUCUCUGGUCUGUAACUGACGCUGAGGAGCGAAAGCGUGGGAAGCGAACAGGAUUAGAUACCCGUGUAGUCCCUGUCUCUUAUAC